UGUGUGUACGUGUGUACGCGCGCUAACUGGAAAAAAUAGGCGAAGUACAAAGUAUUUUUCGUGAACACAUGCCAGAGUCUCCAUUUUUUGCAGGCUUUGGAAGUAGCCUCACUAGAGCUGAUGAGGAGAAUUGCACAGAAAAGGGAAAAUAACAAAGUCAUUGUUAAGUCCCUGUCAUCAUGGACGUUGAAGUCAAUGACCUGGAUUUUUAGGAGCAGUUAAACAGCGGGAAAAAAAAAUCAGAGAUUUCAAAGUACUUACAUUAAAUUUAGUAUGUUUGUUGGGGGGGGUGCUAAUUAAUGGAUCCAAAAAUUGAUAUAUUGAGCUUGCCUUUUUUCAAUGACAUAGAAUAGGACAAAACUAUGAGACGUUACACUUAGCACGAGUAAAUACGCUGUAUAAACCUUUUGCUUCAGUUAAAUAUGUAGAUGUGUGUGCACUGGUCAACCAUGUAAUGUGUAUUUUCAUGCUGUCCCUUGAGGUAAAAGCUUGAAAGGCACUGAUGUAGUGCAGCCUGCCGCCCAGGGUCAGCGUUUGAAGGAGAACUUAGGUUCCUUCCCAGUGGUUCUGGGCUCCUGGUCAGCUCCAGUGAAUUACAGAGACCAAGGAAGAGGAUGAAGAAGAGAGAAGAAUGACCAGUGUCUGAGUUCUGUAUUCAUUCUUUCCGCAAAUGUGCUUGAGCAGUUUCUGCGCUUGGGCCGGUGCUGAAAUCUGGGAGUUCAGUGGUGACAAAGUCAACAUGCCGUCUUGGCACUUUCGAAUCCGGUGGGGACAGCAGACAUCAAACCAAUAAACAUAAAAGUAGCUGGCUAUGCGAUAAAUGCUGUGAAGGAAAAUAUGAGACCCAAAAUGAUGGCAUCAUCAUUUAGAGGUGGGAGGCCACGAUGAAUAAUUAACCCAGUUUAAAGUGUCUUCAAUGAUAAGGAGAUGUGCUGUUUCAUACACAGAAGUCCCAAGGUCAAGAAGCUCUCUCUGGACUGCAUUCUUUGUGGAGUGGAGACCGGCUCCCUAAACAGAAAGGAGGAGUUAAUGGAUGUUGGGUGCCAAUGGAGAGCCUGCUGCAGAAGCUCUGGGAUGACGCCUCUGAAAAAAAAUGGCAUUUAAACUUAAGAUGAGUGAGGGUCAGCAAGGAGCAAGGAGGAUGUACCUUCAGGCAGAGAGAGCCACGUGUGUGGCCUGUCUGUGCCCCGGGUUACAAGAUGUUCGUGCCAUUUCUCAUUUACUGCAUUGACCCCAAAAGGGAUCAGCGGAGAGGGAUGUGGCACGCGAGAAGCCACUGUCCCCUGGGAAAGAAGGGAGAAUGGUGCUCUCAACGCUGGGCCUGAAGGAUUGUGUGAGACACAGCGGUCUCAGCAGUCCCGCCUGCCGUCCCCAUGGUUGUAAAGCCCAGGUGAACUCUGUCAGCAACCUCAGCCUCCUCUGGAGGGAGGACCAGCGCACACGGCCUCCGUGACACCCACUGUAGAGGGAGCUUCAGUGGUUGCAGCUCCCAGGUCCGACCUGACUGGACCCACAGAGCUCUGGCUUCCCUCGCUGCUUCCUGGGGGGCCUGAAACACAUCCUAGAGAGACAGUGGCGCUAAUGUCCUGUGGAAGUGCCUCUGACCAUUGAGAGCCAGGAGCCAGGAGCCAGGAAGAAGCCAGCAGAUGAUUGCUCUCCCUUCCUGCCCACCCAGGAGCUGUUCCGAGAUCCAAGGAUAACAGGCCUUAAUUAAGAAGUAGCGCGUGAGCUUGGCCUCAGGCUGCUUUCUGGAGAACCCAGGCGACGGUGAGACCUUCUGACCCUUUACCUUCCAUCCUUCAGUCUGCUGCGCGCUGUUACUUCGCUUCAGGUUCCUGGGGAAGCAGUGCGGCCUCAGCGAGGGAGGAGUUUCAGGAGGGUGAGGUUAUCUUUCGGGAACUCCAAUGGCAGGGAUCACGCGAUCACCUCAAACUCAGGUGUCGUGCUUUCCGGUCGAUGCCUGUGCCAAAAGUUCGUUCUUCAAGACGAGUUCUUGUCCAAGUUACAUGGCCUAUUUUCUAAAAAAUCAAAUCAAGCACACUUCACAGCACCCUCACGGGUAGAACGCGUGGCUUAUUUAUUUUUAUGUGGUAUGUUCAUCUCUCAAUACCUGUGUUUUCACCAGAGUAAACUCAGUCUUGUGAAGUUAAAUUUCAUGCAUGUCAUAAAUGUUUCCCCAUCUGAGCAAAUAUUGAAAUGAGCAAUUCUGCUCUUUGACAGAGAGUGUUAAAUGUGUUUGGUCAUCAAAUUCGACUUAGUAUUCCCCAAGGUAUCCUAAUGUUUCUGGCAGUAUCUCAAAGCUCUCACGAAUCUCCCAGCCAACUAUUGCUUUGAAGGGCAGUUUCUUCACUUAGCAGGAAGUUUUUCUAGUUAAUUCACCUUACUUAGAGUUCCAUAGUUCCCUCUUUUAAUAUUUCCUACAUGUUUAAGCACAGCUAAAAAAGUGACUAAGAAACGUUUUAAAAGUUGUACUUGGUUAAGAAGCCUUGCAACUCUCAUGCUGGGGAACUGAUAAUUUGUGAUUCUAAUUUUAACUGGAUUAAUCUCAUUCAGAGUCUUUCUAUGCAUAUUACACAUCUUAGUGCCCAACUUCAUGAGGGAUUUAGCAACUGCUAUAUGUGGAAAAUGCUGAGAAUUGAGAUGCUUUUGCUGUUGAAGAAACAUUGCUCAUGUUCCAAAAUGCAGUUGAAACCCAAGUCAAUGUUAUAUGCAAUUUCAUUUUUAUUUUGAAAAUAUUGUUGCAGAAACAUAGUUUCUUUGGGAUUCUUUACCCCAAAUCACGGACACUGCUACUCUCAAAAGCAGUACGGUUUCUCGCUCUGCUGAGGGCCAGUCACGGUUCAGCUUCGGAGUGUCACCACGUUCCCCUUGGGGCUGUCUGGGGACACGGCUGGUUUGCCUCCCCUUGCUGGUUACACCACUUUCCUUUCUGCAUUGGUUUUCACUGGGCGCCUGCCAUUUCUGAUGUUCCAGGAAGUCUGCUGCUUCUACCUGACUCUAAUUCAAUUUGUUAAUAUACAACAUUGAUCUGGUUUAUGGACACAGAGAGCAUCCUGUGUAAUUUCAUCUAUGUUUGCCAAAAAGUGACUGUACCAGAUAAGAGCCUUACCAUCAACCUCAGGCUGCCCAGAAAUCCUUUUGUGCUCUUCCCUUUCAUUUUAAUAGUCUGUAGCUGGGGAAUGUUGGUUGGGCAUAUAAUCAUCACUUCUGUGGCGGGGGCCCUGUUUCUGUCUUUCAUCUCUGGUAGUGUAAUAGCCACUCUACUUCUUUUUU
Sus scrofa (pig) is the source of this 3273-nucleotide non-coding RNA. Lineage: Eukaryota; Metazoa; Chordata; Mammalia; Artiodactyla; Suidae. The record is from RefSeq and is a predicted model, not a curated record.